This 256-nucleotide ribosomal RNA is filed under the name uncultured bacterium. Its description in RNAcentral is "partial 16S ribosomal RNA". It matches the Rfam family "Bacterial small subunit ribosomal RNA", at positions 524 to 776 of the family's 1533-position model. The record is from RNAcentral.
UACGUAGGGUGCAAGCGUUGUCCGGAAUUAUUGGGCGUAAAGAGCUCGUAGGCGGUCUGUCGCGUCGGCUGUGAAAUCCCGGAGCUCAACUCCGGGUCUUGCAGUCGAUAACGGGCAAACUGGAGUACUGCAGGGGAGACUGGAAUUCCUGGUGUAGCGGUGAAAUGCGCAGAUAUCAGGAGGAACACCGGUGGCGAAGGCGGGUCUCUGGGCAGUAACUGACGCUGAGGAGCGAAAAGCGUGGGGAGCGAACAGG